GACGAACCGUGCGAACGUUAUUCGGAAUCACUGGGCUUAAAGCGCGUGUAGGCGGAUGGGCGCGUCGGACGCUGAAAUCCCCCGGCUCAACCGGGGAAGGGGCUCCGAAACGGCCCGUCUGGAGGGGGGUAGGGGGCGCUGGAACUCACGGUGGAGCGGUGAAAUGCGUUGAGAUCGUGAGGAACGCCCGCGGCGAAAGCGAGCGCCUGGACUCUUUCUGACGCUGAGACGCGAAAGCCAGGGGAGCGAACGGG
RNAcentral lists this ribosomal RNA (254 nucleotides) under uncultured bacterium. RNAcentral's name for it is "partial 16S ribosomal RNA". It matches the Rfam family "Bacterial small subunit ribosomal RNA", at positions 524 to 776 of the family's 1533-position model. The record is from RNAcentral.